GAAGUAUCAAAACUGAAGCUUCUAACUUUAAGUUCAAGCGUUAAUUGCGUUUAUACUUCU
This 60-nucleotide transfer RNA is filed under the name Cryptocephalus octoguttatus. RNAcentral's name for it is "tRNA-Ser". The record is from RNAcentral. Lineage: Eukaryota; Metazoa; Arthropoda; Insecta; Coleoptera; Chrysomelidae.